GACGAACGCUGGCAGCGUGCUUAACACAUGCAAGUCGAACGGAAAGGCCCUGCGUUUGUGGGGUGCUCGAGUGGCGAACGGGGGAGUAACACGUGAGUAACCUGCCCUUGACUUUGGGAUAACUUCAGGAAACUGGGGCUAAUACCGGAGAGGAGCUCCUGCUGCACGGGGGGGGUUGGAAAGUUUCGGCGGUUGGGGAUGGACUCGCGGCUUAUCAGCUUGUUGGUGGGGUAGGUGAUUACCAAGGCUUUGACGGGUAGGCGGCCUGAGAGGGUGGCCGGCGUCCAUGCUCCUGCGGUACGGAGCAGUCUGGUACGGUCGGCAGUGGUCGGGAGUCUUACGCAGCGAGCCCGCGUGUGUUGUGAAGGUCUUGCGUUCGUAAUGCCCGCUUUCGGGGUAAGAACAGCUGUCGCAUGAGACGAGGCCUUAGUGACGGUACCGGGUCAAGAAGCACCGGCUAACUACGUG
This 468-nucleotide ribosomal RNA is filed under the name uncultured bacterium. RNAcentral describes it as "partial 16S ribosomal RNA". It matches the Rfam family "Bacterial small subunit ribosomal RNA", at positions 28 to 507 of the family's 1533-position model. The record is from RNAcentral.